AGUGAACGCUGGCGGUAGGCCUAACACAUGCAAGUCGAACGGCAGCACAGUAAGAGCUUGCUCUUACGGGUGGCGAGUGGCGGACGGGUGAGGAAUACAUCGGAAUCUACUUUUUCGUGGGGGAUAACGUAGGGAAACUUACGCUAAUACCGCAUACGACCUACGGGUGAAAGCAGGGGAUCUUCGGACCUUGCGCGAUUGAAUGAGCCGAUGUCGGAUUAGCUAGUUGGCGGGGUAAAGGCCGACCAAGGCGACGAUCCGUAGCUGGUCUGAGAGGAUGAUCAGCCACACUGGAACUGAGACACGGCCCAGACUCCUACGGGAGGCAGCAGUGGGGAAUAUUGGACAAUGGGCGCAAGCCUGAUCCAGCCAUCCCGCGUGGGUGAAGAAGGCCUUCGGGUUGUAAAGCCCUUUUGUUGGGAAAGAAAAGCAUCAGGUUAAUACCCCGCUGUUCUGACGGUACCCAAAGAAUAAGCACCGGCUAACUUCGUG
Molecule: ribosomal RNA, 492 nt
Filed under: uncultured bacterium
Lineage: Bacteria
Description: partial 16S ribosomal RNA
Rfam family: Bacterial small subunit ribosomal RNA
Source: RNAcentral